RNAcentral lists this ribosomal RNA (504 nucleotides) under Pantoea sp. Eser. Its description in RNAcentral is "partial 23S ribosomal RNA". It matches the Rfam family "Bacterial large subunit ribosomal RNA", at positions 2447 to 2925 of the family's 2925-position model. The record is from RNAcentral. Lineage: Bacteria; Pseudomonadati; Pseudomonadota; Gammaproteobacteria; Enterobacterales; Erwiniaceae.
GCUCAACGGAUAAAAGGUACUCCGGGGAUAACAGGCUGAUACCGCCCAAGAGUUCAUAUCGACGGCGGUGUUUGGCACCUCGAUGUCGGCUCAUCACAUCCUGGGGCUGAAGUAGGUCCCAAGGGUACGGCUGUUCGCCGUUUAAAGUGGUACGCGAGCUGGGUUUAGAACGUCGUGAGACAGUUCGGUCCCUAUCUGCCGUGGGCGCUGGAGAAUUGAGGGGGGUUGCUCCUAGUACGAGAGGACCGGAGUGAACGCACCGCUGGUGUUCGGGUUGUCAUGCCAAUGGCAUUGCCCGGUAGCUAAGUGCGGAAAAGAUAAGUGCUGAAAGCAUCUAAGCACGAAACUUGCCCCGAGAUGAGUUCUCCCUGACCCUUUAAGGGUCCUGAAGGGACGUUGAAGACGACGACGUUGAUAGGCCGGAUGUGUAAGCGCAGCGAUGCGUUGAGCUAACCGGUACUAAUGACCCGUGAGGCUUAACCUUACAACGCCAGAGGCGUUUUG